GACGAACCGUGCGAACGUUGUUCGGAAUAACUGGGCUUAAAGGGCGCGUAGGCGGGCUGUCAAGUCUGGGGUGAAAUGCCACGGCUCAACCGUGGAACUGCCUCAGAUACUGACGGCCUCGAGGAAGGUAGGGGCAUGCGGAACUGUAGGUGGAGCGGUGAAAUGCGUUGAUAUCUACAGGAACUCCGGUGGCGAAAGCGGCGUGCUGGACCUUUUCUGACGCUGAGGCGCGAAAGCUAGGGGAGCAAACGGG
RNAcentral lists this ribosomal RNA (253 nucleotides) under uncultured bacterium. RNAcentral's name for it is "partial 16S ribosomal RNA". It matches the Rfam family "Bacterial small subunit ribosomal RNA", at positions 524 to 776 of the family's 1533-position model. The record is from RNAcentral.